Long non-coding RNA from Motacilla alba alba, 1299 nucleotides. RefSeq lists it as uncharacterized. Lineage: Eukaryota; Metazoa; Chordata; Aves; Passeriformes; Motacillidae. The record is from RefSeq and is a predicted model, not a curated record. The transcript is spliced from 3 exons.
CUCAAAGUCUCUGGAAACUGCCUUUGAAGAUUCCACAGACACAGGAAAUGGCAUGGCCUUUCUUGCUUUUAGGGCAGACAAACAGAACGCCUACAUUCUUUGAAAAUAAAAGGGAUGCUGGAAACUUGGAUAGUUACACAGAAAAUCUGUAGCCUCUCUGAUUGGAAGUGACUCCUCUGUGUCAAUUUGCUCCUUCAAACCUGACGCAGGGGGAUGUCACACAGAGCUGUAAUGGGAGGAAGUACUGUAGGCACUAGGGUGUUGCUCAGCCUGUGAAAUCUCCUGGGUUGGCUACAGCCACGGAUGAAAAGGAAGAACAUCAAGUGAGCUCUUUCACUCUGAGGUUAAAGAGCAACAAGGACCUGGAAUCACCAUACCUGCAUAUUGAUGACAUACUCCAGCAUUCACUAAACCUUCAACAACCCAGCAGGAGUCUGACAAUGCCUGGUUUCACUGGGACAUGCUGAAAUCAGAAUGGCCUUCUUUGGGCUUGCCUUGGAUUUACACUCUGCUGACUGAUGGAGAAGAGAGCCCGGGCUGGCAGUUCCGGGUCUCAAGUGAUCCAGCUCUAGCCUACAUCUUGCCACUAGGUUUGCAAGUCCCAUAUACUCUGGGAAAGUCUUGAUGUGGUUAGAAGAGAGUCCAAACCUGUGAGCCAUACAGGCUCUUUGCAAAAAUACUGAAGGAGCAAGAGGACACUAAAUCAUGCCAGAUGCUCUCCAGAGAACUAGGGUCAAGACUUCAGUAAGCCAGAUUGUUUUCCAGUUGCUGCUCCAUCUUCUACUGUUUUCUCUAACAUCUGAUAAAUGGGCCCAGCUGGCAGCAGAUGUGAUUUCACUAUGGUAGAGUCACUUUCUCAGAUAAGUACAACACAAAAUCACACUCCUAAACCCUUGUUGUUUUGGAACCACUUUGCAAGAGGUUAUUUUGACUUGCUUUUAAAAUGUGGGAGCUUGUCUGUGCUGGUACUCCUUAUUAUAGUGAAAUAACUAACUAAAGCCACUGAUCAUCUGCUACUGAGUUUAGAUUUUACCAAUGAUUCUCCUUUCCUUGUUCUCAUUAACAAGGUGGUAAUUUAAUAUUAAAUGGUGGAUGAUGAGGAGCAGCAAGAUGAAUAGCUUCCUGUGGCUGUGUGUUUUAUAGACCCUGGUUCUGCCCUUGCUCAGGUUCACCUUCAGCUUCUUCACACAGACAUUGUUCAGUGUUUCCUGUUGCUGAUCCGGAGCUACAUGUGUAGGCUCUGCAGAAGGAUCUGGACAGGCUGCAUCGAUGGGCUGAGGCCAGUGGAGUGAGGUUCAA